AACGAACGCUGGCGGCAUGCCUAACACAUGCAAGUCGAACGAGACCUUCGGGUCUAGUGGCGCACGGGUGCGUAACGCGUGGGAACCUGCCCUUAGGUUCGGAAUAACUCCCCGAAAGGGGUGCUAAUAUCGGAUAAUUUCUUCGGACCAAAGAUUUAUCGCCUUUGGAUGGGCCCGCGUUGGAUUAGCUUGUUGGUAGGGUAAAAGCCUACCAAGGCGACGAUCCAUAGCUGGUCUGAGAGGAUGAUCAGCCACACUGGGACUGAGACACGGCCCAGACUCCUACGGGAGGCAGCAGUGGGGAAUAUUGGACAAUGGGCGAAAGCCUGAUCCAGCAAGGCCGCGUGAGUGAUGAAGGCCUUAGGGUUGUAAAGCUCUUUUACCCGGGAUGAUAAUGACAGUACCGGGAGAAUAAGCUCCGGCUAACUCCGUG
RNAcentral lists this ribosomal RNA (433 nucleotides) under uncultured bacterium. Its description in RNAcentral is "partial 16S ribosomal RNA". It matches the Rfam family "Bacterial small subunit ribosomal RNA", at positions 29 to 507 of the family's 1533-position model. The record is from RNAcentral.